RNAcentral lists this unclassified non-coding RNA (290 nucleotides) under Hevea brasiliensis (rubber tree). The record is from RNAcentral. Lineage: Eukaryota; Viridiplantae; Streptophyta; Magnoliopsida; Malpighiales; Euphorbiaceae.
GAAGAUUGUAGUGCGGCUUAUUUGCUCUAUAUUGGACCAGUUCCAUUUUUCACAAAAUUGUUUCAGUCUAGAAAACAAAGACUCUGCAGAUAGCAUUGUAGGCUCUGAUAGCACUGAAACAGGUUCUUUCGCUACAUUUCACAAAUGUGGUGGUAAUUAUUCAGCUAUGCUGCCUAAAGGUAGUUGUUCCGUAAUAGCCACUGAAGUACAGGCAUGUCUUCAGAAAACUGUGCUCCCUAAGAUGCGAAAAUUACUGGAUUGUGAUUCUGAUAAGGUCAAUGUUAACAUCA